CCUACGGGAGGCAGCAGUGGGGAAUAUUGGACAAUGGGGGGAACCCUGAUCCAGCGACGCCGCGUGAGUGAAGAAGUAUUUCGGUAUGUAAAGCCCUAUCAGCAGGGAAGAAAGAAAUGAUGGUACAUGACUAAGAAGCGCCGGCUAACUACGUGCCAGCAGCCGCUGUAUUACGGGGGGGGCAAGCGUUAUCCGGAUUUACUGGGUGUAAAGGGAGCGUGGGCGGAGAUGCAAGUUUGAAGGGAAAGGCGGGGGCCCAACCCCCGGACUGCUUUGGAAACUGUAAGCCUAGAGUGCAGGAGAGGUAAGUGGAAUUCCUAGUGUAGCGGUGAAAUGCGUAGAUAUUAGGAAGAACACCAGUGGCGAAGGCAGCUUACUGGACUGUAACUGACGUUGAGGCUCGAAAGCGUGGGGAGCAAACAGGAUUAGAUACCCGAGUAGUC
This 443-nucleotide ribosomal RNA is filed under the name uncultured bacterium. Its description in RNAcentral is "partial 16S ribosomal RNA". It matches the Rfam family "Bacterial small subunit ribosomal RNA", at positions 338 to 795 of the family's 1533-position model. The record is from RNAcentral.